AAGGUUUCCGUAGGUGAACCUGCGGAAGGAUCAUUAUUGAAUUAUGUUUUCUAGAUGGGUUGUAGCUGGCUCCUUGGAGCAUGUGCACGCCUGUCUGGACUUCAUUUUCAUCCACCUGUGCACCUUUUGUAGUCUUUGUUGGGUAUGGAGGAAGUGGUCAGACUAUCAGCUCUUGCUGGAGAUGAGGACUUGUGGUGUGAAAGCAGUGCUGUCUUCUACAUGGCCAUGGAAUCUGUUUCCUGUCAGAGUCUAUGUAGUUCAUUAUACCCUAUAAACUGUUAUUGAAUGUUUUGACAUGGGCUUCUAUUGUAUGCCUAUGAAAAUUGUAAUACAACUUUCAGCAACGGAUCUCUUGGCUCUCGCAUCGAUGAAGAACGCAGCGAAAUGCGAUAAGUAAUGUGAAUUGCAGAAUUCAGUGAAUCAUCGAAUCUUUGAACGCAUCUUGCGCUCCUUGGUAUUCCGAGGAGCAUGCCUGUUUGAGUGUCAUUAAAUUCUCAACUUUCCGAUACUUUGUUGUAAAGGAGAGCUUGGAUAGUGGAGGCUUGCUGGCCACUUGCUGGGGUCGGCUCCUCUGAAAUGCAUUAGCGGAACUGUUUGUGAUCUGCCACAAGUGUGAUAAAUUAUCUACACUAGCGAGGGGAUUGCUCUCUGUGUUCAGCUUCUAAUCGUCUUCAGUGACAACUUCUUGAGUACUUGACCUCAAAUCAGGUAGGACUACCCGCUGAACUUAAGCAUAUCAAUAAGCGGAGGAAAAGAAACUAACAAGGAUUCCCCUAGUAACUGCGA
Molecule: ribosomal RNA, 786 nt
Filed under: Agaricus sp. BAB-4976
Lineage: Eukaryota; Fungi; Basidiomycota; Agaricomycetes; Agaricales; Agaricaceae
Description: eukaryotic LSU rRNA
Rfam family: 5.8S ribosomal RNA (bases 333-486)
Source: RNAcentral